RNAcentral lists this ribosomal RNA (236 nucleotides) under uncultured Lactobacillus sp. RNAcentral's name for it is "partial 16S ribosomal RNA". It matches the Rfam family "Bacterial small subunit ribosomal RNA", at positions 127 to 354 of the family's 1533-position model. Lineage: Bacteria; Bacillati; Bacillota; Bacilli; Lactobacillales; Lactobacillaceae. The record is from RNAcentral.
UGCCCCAUAGUCUGGGAUACCACCUUGGAAACAGGUGCUAAUACCGGAUAAGAAAGCGGAUCGCAUGAUCAGCUUUUAAAAGGCGGCGUAAGCUGUCGCUAUGGGAUGGCCCCGCGGUGCAUUAGCUAGUUGGUAAGGUAAAGGCUUACCAAGGCGAUGAUGCAUAGCCGAGUUGAGAGACUGAUCGGCCACAUUGGGACUGAGACACGGCCCAAACUCCUACGGGAGGCAGCAGA